CACGUAGGGUGCGAGCGUUGUCCGGAAUUAUUGGGCGUAAAGAGCUCGUAGGCGGUGUGUCGCGUCGGCCGUGAAAACCUGCAGCUUAACUGUGGGCUUGCGGUCGAUACGGGCAUCACUGGAGUUCGGCAGGGGAGACUGUAAUUCCUGGUGUAGCGGUGAAAUGCGCAGAUAUCAGGAGGAACACCGGUGGCGAAGGCGGGUCUCUGGGCCGAUACUGACGCUGAGGAGCGAAAGCGUGGGGAGCGAACAGG
This 254-nucleotide ribosomal RNA is filed under the name uncultured bacterium. RNAcentral's name for it is "partial 16S ribosomal RNA". It matches the Rfam family "Bacterial small subunit ribosomal RNA", at positions 524 to 776 of the family's 1533-position model. The record is from RNAcentral.